UUUCAAACCGUUCUUUGGAAAAUAGAUCAAAUUUGGCCGAGCCGUUGAAUAAAUUGCUCAUAAUCUAACUGAAUUGCAAGGAUUGCGUAAGCCUUUUCAUAGCUGUUUUUAAAUGAUCGAAAUGCCUUUUCUAUUCACUUAACCACUACAUUUUUUAAAACCAAGACACAAAAAACCAAUGAAUAAUUCCCAUAAAACGGCGUGUUCAGAUAUAUAUUUCAGCCCAUUUAUGGUCGGAUAUUGAAUUACGGGGUCGUGAUGUUGAAGCUGUGUGGAACGGGCUUCUCAAAAUCUAUGGCAAUCAGAGUGGAUAUAUCUAACUUGCCGUUGCUCUGCCUGUGUUUGUGGUUAGCUCAAUGCUGGAUCGUAUGACGAGGCUGCCAUUUGGCGGGGUGAUCUAGGGGUGCAGUGCAAAUCUAGAUCGCUUUAUUCUUGAUGGGAUUGUUGGCGCCAUAUCAAUAGCUAUGAACAACAGCAAUUUACUGCUGCUGCCUGUUGCUAAACUUUGAGCUGAGCUUGGCUUUUUUAAUUUUAAUUUCAUAUUCGGUGGGUCAGCCACAUUGUUGCGUUAAUGAAGUGUGUCAAUUGCCCAAUUCUUCUCGCGUAUGCCCUGCUCACUCACUCCUUUCCCUCUUU
Molecule: long non-coding RNA, 636 nt
Organism: Drosophila elegans
Lineage: Eukaryota; Metazoa; Arthropoda; Insecta; Diptera; Drosophilidae
Exons: 3
Source: RefSeq, a predicted model, not a curated record